CAAUCAGCCGCUCCUUCAGCUCGCCCUCGGCUGGAAAAGGAAGUGGCAAGGAAGAGGAUAUCCCAUUAAAGCAGUGAGAGAAAAAACGGUGCCCUAAAGAGACGAAAAUAUUAUGGAAUCCUAAGGAUAUAGACCGGACAUUGCUCGCGCUUCUCUGAUUACUUUUAUUGCCAGCAAUUUGAUGAAUUUGAAAUGAGAGGGACGCGGCCGGAAGGAUGGGGUGGCGAUGGGGCGAUGGGGCUAUGGGGGUGGAGUGAAAGAAUGGCCAGCCGGACGUAAUCGCAUCAGGAAUAUACAAUGUCUAAUGCAAUUACCGGUUCCGUCCGUCAUUAAGAGUCCCCGAUACGAAUACGGAUAGGAUAUGCACGGUCAAUUAGCUGCGCUCGCUAAAAAGUGGACAAGAAAAGAGACCUUAACAAGGAAGAAGAAGACAAGAGAUUAACGGGCGCUGCUCGCCAGGAACGCCAGGACGGAUGGAUGGCGAUGCAAUCGAUGCCAAUUAGAACGAUUAUACGUCCAUUUCCGCAUUUUAUUUUGAUCGUUCUUCGAGCCAAACUACUACUACUACUUUGAGAGAGAGAGAGAGAGAGAGUCGAGUUUCGAAGAACAACUUAUGCUAUUAAGGAUUCCCGAAGUAAUCAAUUAUUUCACGAUGCAAACUUUCACGAAAUGCUACCAUAAAACUUUACUUCAU
Molecule: small RNA, 694 nt
Filed under: Drosophila ananassae
Lineage: Eukaryota; Metazoa; Arthropoda; Insecta; Diptera; Drosophilidae
Description: GF26596
Source: RNAcentral